This 515-nucleotide ribosomal RNA is filed under the name uncultured bacterium. RNAcentral describes it as "partial 16S ribosomal RNA". It matches the Rfam family "Bacterial small subunit ribosomal RNA", at positions 28 to 523 of the family's 1533-position model. The record is from RNAcentral.
GAUGAACGCUGGCGGCGUGCCUAAUACAUGCAAGUCGAGCGAAUGGAUUAAGAGCUUGCUCUUAUGAAGUUAGCGGCGGACGGGUGAGUAACACGUGGGUAACCUGCCCAUAAGACUGGGAUAACUCCGGGAAACCGGGGCUAAUACCGGAUAACAUUUUGAACCGCAUGGUUCGAAAUUGAAAGGCGGCUCCGGCUGUCACUUAUGGAUGGACCCGCGUCGCAUUAGCUAGUUGGUGAGGUAACGGCUCACCAAGGCAACGAUGCGUAGCCGACCGGAGAGGGUGAUCGGCAACACUGGGACUGAGACACGGCCCAGACUCCUACGGGAGGCAGCAGUAGGGAAUCUUCCGCAAUGGACGAAAGUCUGACGGAGCAACGCCGCGUGAGUGAUGAAGGCUUUCGGGUCGUAAAACUCUGUUGUUAGGGAAGAACAAGUGCUAGUUGAAUAAGCUGGCACCUUGACGGUACCUAACCAGAAAGCCACGGCUAACUACGUGCCAGCCGCCGCUGUAA